This 26-nucleotide small nuclear RNA is filed under the name Arabidopsis thaliana (thale cress). RNAcentral describes it as "snRNA_04947". The record is from RNAcentral. Lineage: Eukaryota; Viridiplantae; Streptophyta; Magnoliopsida; Brassicales; Brassicaceae.
ACCACUGAUGAACAGUGUUGACAAAA